UACAGAGGGUGCGAGCGUUGUCCGGAAUCACUGGGCGUAAAGGGCGCGUAGGUGGCGCGACAAGUCAGUGGUGAAAGUUCGACGCUCAACGUCGAAUCGGCCACUGAUACUGUUGGGCUUGAGCACUGUAGAGGCUAAUGGAAUUCCGGGUGUAGCGGUGGAAUGCGUAGAGAUCGGGAGGAGCACCUGUGGCGAAGGCGGCCCCCUGGGCCGGCCCUGACACUGAGACGCGAAGGCGUGGGGGAGCGAACGGG
RNAcentral lists this ribosomal RNA (254 nucleotides) under uncultured bacterium. RNAcentral's name for it is "partial 16S ribosomal RNA". It matches the Rfam family "Bacterial small subunit ribosomal RNA", at positions 524 to 776 of the family's 1533-position model. The record is from RNAcentral.